AAACAUGGCUCUUUGUAAUCUAUAAAUAAGGAGUCGGACCUGCCCAGUGAGUGUUUUAACGGCCGCGGUACUUUGACCGUGCAAAGGUAGCAUAAUCAGUUGCCUUAUAAUUGAAGGCUAGUAUGAACGGUUUGACAAGAGUAUAACUGUCUCUAUAUAAUUUAAUAGAAUUUUAUCUAUAGGUGAAGAGGCCUGUAUUAAAUUAAAAGACAAGAAGACCCUAUUGAGCUUCAAAAAAAUUAAUAAAUUUAAGUCUUAUAGAUAUUAAAAAGCUGGUUAUUAAAAAUUUUGGUUGGGGCGACUAAGGAACAAAAGAAGCUUCCUUUAUAUCUAUCAAAUAAACGAAUAUUGAUCCAGAAUAUUUUGACUAAAGAAAUUAGUUACCAUAGGGAUAACAGCAUUAUCUUUUUUAAGAGUCCUUAUCGAAAAAAGGGAUUGUGACCUCGAUGUUGGACCAGAAUAUCCAAAAGAUGCAGAAGUCUUUAAAGGUUGGUCUGUUCGACCAUUAAAAUUCUA
This 516-nucleotide ribosomal RNA is filed under the name Coluzea altocanalis. RNAcentral's name for it is "partial large subunit ribosomal RNA". It matches the Rfam family "Bacterial large subunit ribosomal RNA", at positions 1811 to 2598 of the family's 2925-position model. The record is from RNAcentral. Lineage: Eukaryota; Metazoa; Mollusca; Gastropoda; Neogastropoda; Columbariidae.